AAGUGCGAUCAUACCAGCAUUAAUGUGGCGGAUCCCAUUAGAACUCCGCAGUUGAGCGUGCUUGGGCCAAAGUAGUACUGGGAUGGGUGACCUCCUGGGAAGUCCUAGUGUUGCACCCU
Molecule: non-coding RNA, 119 nt
Organism: Picea glauca (white spruce)
Lineage: Eukaryota; Viridiplantae; Streptophyta; Pinopsida; Pinales; Pinaceae
Source: Rfam